CCUACGGGCUGCAGCAGUGGGGAAUAUUGGACAAUGGGCGAAAGCCUGAUCCAGCAAUGCCGCGUGUGUGAAGAAGGUCUUCGGAUUGUAAAGCACUUUCGACGGGGACGAUGAUGACGGUACCCGUAGAAGAAGCCCCGGCUAACUUCGUGCCAGCAGCCGCGGUAAUACGAAGGGGGCUAGCGUUGUUCGGAAUUACUGGGCGUAAAGCGCGCGUAGGCGGAUAGAUAAGUCAGAGGUGAAAUCCCGGGGCUCAACCCCGGAAUUGCCUUUGAUACUGUUUAUCUUGAGUGCAGAAGAGGUAAGUGGAAUUCCGAGUGUAGAGGUGAAAUUCGUAGAUAUAUGGAAGAACACCAGUGGCGAAGGCGGCUUACUGGACUGUAACUGACGUUGAGGCUCGAAAGUGUGGGUAGCAAACAGGAUUAGAUACCCCGGUAGUC
This 440-nucleotide ribosomal RNA is filed under the name uncultured bacterium. RNAcentral describes it as "bacterial SSU rRNA". It matches the Rfam family "Bacterial small subunit ribosomal RNA", at positions 338 to 795 of the family's 1533-position model. The record is from RNAcentral.